RNAcentral lists this ribosomal RNA (462 nucleotides) under uncultured bacterium. RNAcentral's name for it is "partial 16S ribosomal RNA". It matches the Rfam family "Bacterial small subunit ribosomal RNA", at positions 28 to 507 of the family's 1533-position model. The record is from RNAcentral.
GACGAACGCUGGCGGCGUGCUUAACACAUGCAAGUCGAGCGGAAAGGCCCUUCGGGGUACUCGAGCGGCGAACGGGUGAGUAACACGUGAGUAACCUGCCCCAGACUUUGGGAUAACCCUCGGAAACGGGGGCUAAUACCGGAUACGACACAGCUUCGCAUGGGGUCUGUGUGGAAAGUUUUUCGGUUUGGGAUGGGCUCGCGGCCUAUCAGCUUGUUGGUGGGGUGAUGGCCUACCAAGGCGACGACGGGUAGCCGGCCUGAGAGGGCGACCGGCCACACUAGGACUGAGACACGGCCCAGACUCCUACGGGAGGCAGCAGUGGGGAAUAUUACACAAUGGGCGGAAGCCUGAUGCAGCGACGCCGCGUGAGGGAUGACGGCCUUCGGGUUGAAAACCUCUUUCAGCAGGGACGAAGCGUAAGUGACGGUACCUGCAGAAGAAGCGCCGGCCAACUACGUG